CCUAGCUUGCUAGGUGGAUUAGUGGCGCACGGGUGAGUAAUAUAUAGAUAACGUGCCUCUUAGUCUGGGAUAGCCAUUGGAAACGAUGAUUAAUACUAGAUACUCCUUCUAACUCUAAUGUUAGUCGGGAAAGUUUUUCGCUAAGAGAUCGGUCUAUAUCCCAUCAGCUAGUUGGUAGUGUAAGAGACUACCAAGGCAAUGACGGGUAGCGGGUUUGAGAGGAUGAUCCGCCACACUGGUACUGAGACACGGACCAGACUCCUACGGGAGGCAGCAGUGAGGAAUAUUGCACAAUGGAGGAAACUCUGAUGCAGCAACGCCGCGUGGAGGAUGAUGCAUUUCGGUGUGUAAACUCCUUUUAUAUGUCAAGAAAAUGACGGUAGCAUAUGAAUAAGCACCGGCUAACUCCGUGCCAGCAGCCGCGGUAAUACGGAGGGUGCAAGCGUUAUUCGGAAUCACUGGGCGUAAAGGACGCGUAGGCGGGAUGC
RNAcentral lists this ribosomal RNA (488 nucleotides) under uncultured Campylobacterota bacterium. RNAcentral's name for it is "bacterial SSU rRNA". It matches the Rfam family "Bacterial small subunit ribosomal RNA", at positions 74 to 583 of the family's 1533-position model. Lineage: Bacteria; Pseudomonadati; Campylobacterota. The record is from RNAcentral.